GUCUCAUGCAGAACAAUGCUAGACCUAUUCUCAGGUUGGCUUAAUCAACCUCUUCAAUGGUGGGCACAGAGGAGGCACCACCAGAUGGGGGAGCUCCACCACCAGGAAAGCCCCAAAACAUUCCUCCCAGCACGCCUCCUGCGCUCUGGUACAGCUUGGUCAUGAUGGGGUUGCAGACUUUCUCUAGCUCUUUCUGCUAUGUUCAAAUUCUUCCUUAUCAGCAGUCUGGUUCUUAUCAAACCAGUUGAUGACUUCAUUACACUUGUCAAGAAUCUUCUGUUUGUCCUCAUUGUUGAUUUUGCACUGAAAUUUUUCAUUUUCAAUGGUUGCUUUCAUGUUGAAUGUGUGAGAUUCAAGUGAAUUCUUGGAAGACACCUUGUCCCACUGCGUCUCAUCUUCAGCUUUGUACUUCUCGGCUUCCUGGACCAUGAGCUCAAUGUCUCCCUUGCUCAAGCAGCCCUUGUCCUUUGUGAUGGCAAUCUCGUUCUCUUUUCCUGUGCUCUUAUCCACAGCAGAGACCCUGAGGAUGCCAUUAGCAUCAAUAUCAAAAGUGACUUCAAUCUUAGGAAAGGGGUAGGAAUAGUGGUAUUGCCCUUGAUAAGGCAGUCAUGACUCCUCUACCAGUUUCAAUGCCNNNNNNNNNNNNNNNNNNNNNNNNNNNNNNNNNNNNNNNNNNNNNNNNNUCCACUUACCAUACAGUGCUCAUAAAGUGCAAUGUUUAUUUCCUUCCCCUGCACACACAUUCCAUAUUCAAGUAUCAAGGAUUCCUAGUUUAUUUACUACAGCAGCUUGAUUUUAAAACUUCCAUGGCAUUUGCUACCGAUUUGGGUCCUUCAAACGUCUCAUGCAGAACAAUGCUAGACCUAUUCUCAGGUUGGCUUAAUCAACCUCUUCAAUGGUGGGCACAGAGGAGGCACCACCAGAUGGGGGAGCUCCACCACCAGGGAAGCCCCAAAACAUUCCUCCCAGCACGCCUCCUGCGCUCUGGUACAGCUUGGUCAUGAUGGGGUUGCAGACUUUCUCUAGCUCUUUCUGCUAUGUUCAAAUUCUUCCUUAUCAGCAGUCUGGUUCUUAUCAAACCAGUUGAUGACUUCAUUACACUUGUCAAGAAUCUUCUGUUUGUCCUCAUUGUUGAUUUUGCACUGAAGUUUUUCAUUUUCAAUGGUUGCUUUCAUGUUGAAUGUGUGAGAUUCAAGUGAAUUCUUGGAAGACACCUUGUCCCACUGCGUCUCAUCUUCAGCUUUGUACUUCUCGGCUUCCUGGACCAUGAGCUCAAUGUCUCCCUUGCUCAAGCAGCCCUUGUCCUUUGUGAUGGCAAUCUCGUUCUCUUUUCCUGUGCUCUUAUCCACAGCAGAGACCCUGAGGAUGCCAUUAGCAUCAAUAUCAAAAGUGACUUCAAUCUUAGGAAAGGGGUAGGAAUAGUGGUAUUGCCCUUGAUAAGGCAGUCAUGACUCCUCUACCAGUUUCAAUGCCAAGAGAAAGAGGAGUGACAUUCAACAGCAGCAAAUCUUGAACAUUUUCAGAUAUUUCUCCAGGAAGAAUGGCUGCCUGGCCAGCUGCAUCAUAAGCAACAGCCUCAUCAGGGUUGAUGGUCUUAUUCAGUUCCUUUCCAUUGAAGAAGUCUUGAAGAAGUCUAUGAACUUGGGAAUAUGGAUAGAACCACCCACCAGGACAAUAUCAUGGAUCCAAGACUUGUCUAGUUUGGCAUCCCAAAGGGCUUUUUCUACAGGGUCCAGGGUGCCGUGGAACAGGUCAGCACUUAAUUCUUCAAACUGGGCGUGAGUAAUAGAGGUAUAGAAGUUGAUUCCUUCAUACAAAGAAUCACUCUCAAUACUGGCCUGGGUGCUGGGGGGCGCCUGGGGGGGCGCCUGGGUGGCUCAGUCGGUUGAGCGUCCGACUUCAGCUCAGGUCAUGAUCUCAAGGUCCGUGAGUGCGAGCCCCGCGUCGGGCUCUGGGCUGAUGGCUCAGAGCCUGGAGCCUGCUUCCGAUUCUGUGUCUCCCUCUCUCUCUGCCCCUCCCCCGUUCAUGCUCUGUCUCUCUCUGUCUCAAAAAUAAAUAAACGUUAAAAAAAUUAAAAAAAAAAAAAAACACUGGCCUGGGUGCUGGAAGAAAGUAUAUGCUUAGCACAUUUGCGAGCAGUAUGGAGGUGACGGACUGCCCUCUUGUUCUCGCUGAUGUCCUUCUUACAUUUACACUUGAACUCUGCAAUAAAAUGGUUGACCAUUCGGUUGUCAAAGUCUUUUUCACCUAAGUGGGUGUCUCCAGAUGUAGAUUUCACCUCAAGGAUCCCAUCUUCAAUAGUGAGAGCUGACACAUCAAAAGCGCCACUUCCGAAGUCAAAGAUGAGCACAUUCCUUUCAGCUCCAACCUUUUUGUCUAAGUCAUAAGCAACAGCCACAGCAGUUGGUUCAUUGAUGAAUCUGAGUACACUGAGGCCUGCAACAGGUCAGCAUCAUUGCUAGCUUGACGCUGAGCACCAUUGAAGUAAGUAGGUACUGCGACAACAGCCUUGGGAACAGUCUUCCCGAGAUAGGCCUCUGCAAUUUCCUUCAUCUUUGUCAAAACCAGAGAGGACGUCUCUUCUGGAUAGACGUCUCUCCCUUGUAUUCUGCUUGGACUUUGGGCCUGCCAGAAUCAUUCACCACCAUGAAGGGCCAAUGCUUCCUAUCGGACUGGACAACAGCAUCGUCGAAUCUACGUCCAAUCAGGUGCUUGGCAUCAAAAACCGUGUUGCUGGGAUUCAUUGCGACUGGAU
This 2755-nucleotide long non-coding RNA is filed under the name Lynx pardinus (Iberian lynx). The record is from RNAcentral. Lineage: Eukaryota; Metazoa; Chordata; Mammalia; Carnivora; Felidae.